UUCUGGGCCCUGCUCACUGUCUGUCAGCAGAGCUGUCCACGAUCCAGGUACUGAGGUCCAAGAUUUGUGUGUGUGCUCGCGCUGCCCAAAUAAUGACACGGAGUUGGAUAAGCAGUCCCCAGGAUCAGCCCACCAGAGUGUGACAGUCUUUUCACCCAGAAAAGGGAAGCGGUUUGCCUAUGGUUAACGAGGAAGUUAUUGGCUGAGCUGGAAUGGAAGUGCAGUCUUUCCUGGGCCACUGACUUUACUGAAUGACCUUGCAUGGGUCCACUGACUUCAUGAAGCUCUCGAUGAGGAGAUGGAAAGCUCUUGGACCAGAGGCCAUAAUGAGAACCUGGCAGCAGGUCACCUAAAUCUCUUGACUCCAGCCUACUUAGCAGCAGAUAUUCCAAAACCAGAUUUGGGGUUAAGAGAACAAGAGAGACGACAAAUGGAAUCUCUCUUCUUACUGGGUGGUCAGUUCCUGCCUCCUGAGCAGAGCAGAAGUUAUUCUUCAGUGUCUAAAGGAAAGAGAGAAUCAUAAGAUAAUAAAAUGUCAAUCUGGAAAGGACCUCA
RNAcentral lists this long non-coding RNA (555 nucleotides) under Monodelphis domestica (gray short-tailed opossum). Its description in RNAcentral is "lncRNA (ENSMODG00000030523.2)". Lineage: Eukaryota; Metazoa; Chordata; Mammalia; Didelphimorphia; Didelphidae. The record is from RNAcentral.